RNAcentral lists this unclassified non-coding RNA (207 nucleotides) under plant metagenome. Its description in RNAcentral is "partial contains small subunit ribosomal RNA, internal transcribed spacer 1, and 5.8S ribosomal RNA". The record is from RNAcentral.
UUUCCGUAGGUGAACCUGCGGAAGGAUCAUUCAUAAUAAGUGUUUUAUGGCACUUUUUUAAAUCCAUAUCCACCUUGUGUGCAAUGUCAAGGUUGGCCUCUUUAGAUCAGCCCCAAACAUCAACUAUUAUCUCAACUCUUUGUCUGAAAAAUAUUAUGAAUAAAACAAUUCAAAAUACAACUUUCAACAACGGAUCUCUUGGCUCUC